CCUACGGGCGGCAGCAGUAGGGAAUAUUGCUCAAUGGGCGAAACCCUGAACCAGCAACGCCGCGUGAAGGAUGACGGUUUUCGGAUUGUAAACUCCUUUUGUUAGAGAAGAUAAUGACGGUAUCUAACGAAUAAGCACCAGCUAACUCCGUGCCAGCAGCCGCGGUAAUACGGAGGGUGCAAGCGUUACUCGGAAUCACUGGGCGUAAAGAGCGCGUAGGCGGGAUAGCAAGUCAGAUGUGAAAUCCUAUGGCUUAACCAUAGAACUGCAUUUGAAACUGGUAGUCUAGAGUAUGGGAGAGGUAGGUGGAAUUCGUGGUGUAGGGGUAAAAUCCGUAGAGAUCGAGAGGAAUACUGAUUGCGAAGGCGACCUGCUAGCACAUAACUGACGCUGAGGCGCGAAAGCGUGGGGAGCAAACAGGAUUAGAUACCCUUGUAGUC
RNAcentral lists this ribosomal RNA (440 nucleotides) under uncultured bacterium. RNAcentral's name for it is "partial 16S ribosomal RNA". It matches the Rfam family "Bacterial small subunit ribosomal RNA", at positions 338 to 795 of the family's 1533-position model. The record is from RNAcentral.